AAAUGUAGUUUGUGGUAAUGAGUGGAAGGUUUGGGGCUUUUAUGGGAGUUUGUUUUGGUUUUGCUUUGCUUGUGAGUUUUUUUGCUUGCUUUCCUGGGAGAUGGGGGCAGUCCAAGCCCUGGAGAGAGCUCAUCCUUCCCACCCUGCUUUUAACUUGGAAGAAAUGCUGUAGAAAUCCAUGGGCAUUACCAAGGCGAAGUGUAUGAUAGAAAAAGCAGGAGGUUUUCUGUAACAAGUGAGAACAACAAGAAUUAGCUCUCUCAGCACUUCAACAAGCAGAGAUUUUUGUCUGUAAUGAGAAGAAUGAGACUUGUUUGACAUAAACUACAAAACAACACAGCAAAGAUGAAGAAGGAGGGCAGAAAUACAUUACUGAAGGAAAGAGAUGUGCAUGAUUUCCUCUCUAGGAAAGGAUGUGUGGGAACAUUCCAGGGCAUUUCAGGACUGACCUAUGCAGCAUUUGGAAGCACUCAGUGUUUCUGUGACAUCACUUCCUAGUCCAUUUGAAAUCAAGGCCAGGCUGAUGGGGUGCCGGGUCCUGGCCUGGGGGGAAAACAGGACACAGCAAUGAGCUGCAAAGAUCCAAGAGGUGUAACAACAGGUGCCAAUAUUGAGAGGAAGUCAAGCUGACAAAUCUCAGGAAGUGUAAAGGCUUCUCUGGCAUUCUCCCUCAGGGAAACUGGUAAAUUGGUCCUAUUUCUUUGAAUCUUUAAACUCUUUAGUAAUAUUAAAAUCAAAUGGGACAGAUGCAAGAGAAAUAAGGCUCCUUUCCAGCUAAGAGAAUAAAAAUUUGGAGCAUGGGCUGUCCAUCCUCCUGGACAUUCUAGAAGAUUAAGCUGAAGCUCCUAAAAACCAGCUUUCAUCAACCUUAAGACAAACCUCCUAGAAACUUCUAGCAGCUGAUUGCUCUCAUGGCUGCUCCUUCCACACUUGACUUUUGUGACAGGUUCCUGAUUUCAGCACUAGAGGGGUGAGGGUGACUGCUCUUCUCUUUCUGCUUUCUGUGAUUUACACCCUUCCCAUUAUGAGUGGUUAAUUACAUUAAAAGCAUUGUAAAACUUUG
This is a long non-coding RNA of Zonotrichia leucophrys gambelii, 1063 nucleotides long. RefSeq lists it as uncharacterized. The transcript is spliced from 5 exons. The record is from RefSeq and is a predicted model, not a curated record. NCBI's taxonomy places the organism in Eukaryota, Metazoa, Chordata, Aves, Passeriformes, Passerellidae.